UGGGGAAUUUUGGACAAUGGGCGAAAGCCUGAUCCAGCAAUGCCGCGUGUGUGAAGAAGGCCUUCGGGUUGUAAAGCACUUUUGUCCGGAAGGAAAUCCUUGGCUCUAAUACAGUCGGGGGAUGACGGUACCGGAAGAAUAAGCACCGGCUAACUACGUGCCAGCAGCCGCGGUAAUACGUAGGGUGCAAGCGUUAAUCGGAAUUACUGGGCGUAAAGCGUGCGCAGGCGGUUUGCUAAGACCGAUGUGAAAUCCCCGGGCUCAACCUGGGAACUGCAUUGGGUGACUGGCAGGCUAGAGUAUGGCAGAGGGGGGUAGAAUUCCACGUGUAGCAGUGAAAUGCGUAGAGAUGUGGAGGAAUACCGAUGGCGAAGGCAGCCCCCUGGGCCAAUACUGACGCUCAUGCACGAAAGCGUGGGGAGCAAACAGGAUUAGAUACCCUGGUAGUCCACGCCCUAAACGAUGUCAACUAGUUGUUGGGGAUUCAUUUCCUUAGUAACGUAGCUAACGCGUGAAGUUGACCGCCUGGGGAGUACGGUCGCAAGAUUAAAACUCAAAGGAAUUGACGGGGUCAUAGCUGUUUCCU
RNAcentral lists this ribosomal RNA (586 nucleotides) under uncultured bacterium. RNAcentral describes it as "partial 16S ribosomal RNA". It matches the Rfam family "Bacterial small subunit ribosomal RNA", at positions 355 to 1375 of the family's 1533-position model. The record is from RNAcentral.